This 281-nucleotide ribosomal RNA is filed under the name uncultured bacterium. Its description in RNAcentral is "partial 16S ribosomal RNA". It matches the Rfam family "Bacterial small subunit ribosomal RNA", at positions 505 to 784 of the family's 1533-position model. The record is from RNAcentral.
GUGCCAGCAGCCGCGGUAAUACAUAGGGGUCAAGCGUUGUCCGGAUUUAUUGGGCGUAAAGAGCUCGUAGGCGGUUCAACAAGUCGGUCGUAAAAGUUUAGGGCUCAACCCUAAAAUGUCGAUCGAUACUGUUGUGACUAGGAUACGGUAGAGGUGCACGGAAUGCGUCAUGUAGCGGUGAAAUGCAUAGAUAUGACGUAGAACACCAAUUGCGAAGGCAGUGCACUAGGGCAUCAUUGACGCUGAGGUACGAAAGCGUGGGUAGCGAACAGGAUUAGAUA